This 799-nucleotide ribosomal RNA is filed under the name uncultured bacterium. RNAcentral's name for it is "bacterial SSU rRNA". It matches the Rfam family "Bacterial small subunit ribosomal RNA", at positions 8 to 796 of the family's 1533-position model. The record is from RNAcentral.
AGAGUUUGAUCAUGGCUCAGAACGAACGCUGGCGGCAUGCCUAAUACAUGCAAGUCGAACGAGAAAGUUCUUCGGAAUGAGUAUAGUGGCGCACGGGUGAGUAACACGUAGGUGACACGCCCUUGAGNNGGGGACAACAGAAAGAAAUUUCUGCUAAUACCGCAUGAUUUGAUAGGGAUUGAAUUUCUAUCAAUAAAGAUGCGCAAGCUAUCGCUUGGGGACUGGCCUGCGGGGCAUUAGUUUGAUGGUGGGGUAAUGGCCUACCAUGGCGAUGAUGCCUAGCCGGUCUGAGAGGAUGAUCGGCCACACUGGGACUGAGACACGGCCCAGACUCCUACGGGAGGCAGCAGUAGGGAAUAUUGCGCAAUGGAGGAAACUCUGACGCAGCAAUGCCGCGUGUGUGAGGAAGGCCUUCGGGUUGUAAAGCACUGUCGCAGGGGAAAAACCGCACUCAUUCGAAUAGGGUGAGUGCCUGAUGGUACCCUGAAAGGAAGCACCGGCUAACUCCGUGCCAGCAGCCGCGGUAAUACGGAGGGUGCAAGCGUUGUUCGGAUUUAUUGGGCGUAAAGCGCGCGCAGGCGGAUGAUCAAGUCAGGUGUGAAAUCUCGGGGCUUAACUCCGAAACUGCGCCUGAAACUGGUUAUCUAGAAUACUUAAGAGGGCAGGGGAAUUUCGCAUGUAGGGGUAAAAUCCGUAGAGAUGCGAAGGAACACCAGAGGCGAAGGCGCCUGCCUGGGAAGUUAUUGACGCUGAGGGCGAAAGCGUGGGGAGCAAACAGGAUUAGAUACCCUAGUAGUCC